GAUGAACGCUGGCGGCGUGCCUAUACAUGCAAGUCGAGCGAACAGAUGAGAAGCUUGCUUCUCUGAUGUUAGCGGCGGACGGGUGAGUAACACGUGGGUAACCUACCUACAAGACUGGGAUAACUCCGGGAAACCGGGGCUAAUACCGGAUAAUAUUUUGAACCGCAUGGUUCAAUAGUGAAAGACGGUUUCGGCUGUCACUUAUAGAUGGACCCGCGCCGUAUUAGCUAGUUGGUAAGGUAACGGCUUACCAAGGCGACGAUACGUAGCCGACCUGAGAGGGUGAUCGGCCACACUGGAACUGAGACACGGUCCAGACUCCUACGGGAGGCAGCAGUAGGGAAUCUUCCGCAAUGGGCGUAAGCCUGACGGAGCAACGCCGCGUGAGUGAUGAAGGUCUUCGGAUCGUAAAACUCUGUUGUUAGGGAAGAACAAAUUUGUUAGUAACUGAACAAGUCUUGACGGUACCUAACCAGAAAGCCACGGCUAACUACGUGCCAGCCGCCGCCGUAA
RNAcentral lists this ribosomal RNA (513 nucleotides) under uncultured bacterium. RNAcentral's name for it is "partial 16S ribosomal RNA". It matches the Rfam family "Bacterial small subunit ribosomal RNA", at positions 28 to 523 of the family's 1533-position model. The record is from RNAcentral.